GACGAACGCUGGCGGCGUGCCUAAUACAUGCAAGUAGAACGCAGUUGCGAACGGGUGAGUAACGCGUAGGUAACUGCCUCAUAGCGGGGGAUAACUAUUGGAAACGAUAGCUAAUACCGCAUACUGUGAGAUGGACGUGCGUUGUAUUAGCUAGGUGGUGAGGUAAAGGCUCACCAAGGCGACGAUACAUAGCCGACCUGAGAGGGGUGACCGGCCAACCUGGACUGCGAACAGGACCAGACUUCUACGGGAGGCAGCAGUAGGGAAUCUUCGGAAAUUGACGGAAGGCUUACCGAGCCACGCCGCGGUAGAGAAGAAGGUUUUCGGAUCGUAAAGCUACUUUGUUAGAGAAGCGGUAACCACCCAGAAAGGGACGGCUAACUACGUGCCAGCAGCCGCGGUAAUAC
RNAcentral lists this ribosomal RNA (407 nucleotides) under uncultured bacterium. RNAcentral describes it as "partial 16S ribosomal RNA". It matches the Rfam family "Bacterial small subunit ribosomal RNA", at positions 28 to 526 of the family's 1533-position model. The record is from RNAcentral.